CGCGUGUGUGAAGAAGGCCUUAGGGUUGUAAAGCACUUUCAGUAGGGAAGAAAUGCGUGUAGCUAAUAACUACGCGUUUUGACGGUACCUACAGAAGAAGCACCGGCUAACUCCGUGCCAGCAGCCGCGGUAAUACGGAGGGUGCAAGCGUUAAUCGGAAUUACUGGGCGUAAAGCGCGCGUAGGCGGUUAUAUAAGUCAGAUGUGAAAGCCCUGGGCUCAACCUGGGAACUGCAUUUGAUACUGUAUAACUAGAGUUUGGUAGAGGGAAGUGGAAUUCCACAUGUAGCGGUGAAAUGCGUAGAUAUGUGGAGGAACACCGGUGGCGAAGGCGACUUCCUGGACCAAAACUGACGCUGAGGUGCGAAAGCGUGGGUAGCAAACAGGAUUAGAUACCCUGGUAGUCCACGCCGUAAACGAUGUCAACUAGCCGUUGGGGGAAUUUGUCCCUUAGUGGCGUAGCUA
This 464-nucleotide ribosomal RNA is filed under the name uncultured Gammaproteobacteria bacterium. Its description in RNAcentral is "bacterial SSU rRNA". It matches the Rfam family "Bacterial small subunit ribosomal RNA", at positions 398 to 854 of the family's 1533-position model. The record is from RNAcentral. Lineage: Bacteria; Pseudomonadati; Pseudomonadota; Gammaproteobacteria.